Molecule: unclassified non-coding RNA, 235 nt
Filed under: Hevea brasiliensis (rubber tree)
Lineage: Eukaryota; Viridiplantae; Streptophyta; Magnoliopsida; Malpighiales; Euphorbiaceae
Source: RNAcentral
GCCAGCACGCUUGACAGAAAGAUAAAAGCUACUGUUAAGCUUGGAAAUGGAGAGGAAUUUGAAGGAGAAUCUGCUUAUCGUCCAAAGAUUUCCAACGCAACAUUCUUCACUCUAUUUGAUGCUGCAAAAAAUGCAAAAGAUCCAUCCGAAACCCCUUAUUGCAGACGAGGUUCACUCACUGACCCUGCUAUAAGAGGAAAGAUAGUAUUAUGUUCAGCACUCGGCCAUGUAGCCA